Dalotia coriaria is the source of this 965-nucleotide long non-coding RNA. RefSeq lists it as uncharacterized. The record is from RefSeq and is a predicted model, not a curated record. NCBI's taxonomy places the organism in Eukaryota, Metazoa, Arthropoda, Insecta, Coleoptera, Staphylinidae. The transcript is spliced from 5 exons.
CCAGUUUCGCGUCGGUCUCUGAUUAAUUCAGACGUAUUUCUCGCGGCUCUUAUUGUUUGUUCGAUCUUCUGCAUUCUAAAUUUGCAUUAUAUUCGGUCAGCAGUCGACUAUUUAUUUUUAACUUGCGACUAUAGUAAUGUUUGUUAUUGCUUGUGCGUUUAUUGUCCUUUAUCGCUUUAUAUUUGGUUGAUAACCAGUGAUAAUUAGUGGUUUUAGCCGUGUUCGGUAUUUUAAUAGUAAUUUAUCCCGUGUAUAAUCGUCGUAAAUCUAAAUUUUCCGAAUUUAGUGUACCUAUUCAAAAAAGUGAGUGCGUUAUGAACAUCACUAAUAAAUUCUUGCGGUAGCGAAUAUUUUUCCUCAAUCGCAGAAUAUGAACUUGUCGUACCAUCGCAAUCCGAUGAGCGCUGCAUUAUAUUCGCUGUACCAUGGAGUCCGAUGAGUUCUGCAUUAACAUUUACAUAAACGUUAACGCUAGCCUUCUACGGUGCUUUGAAUGGGAGUCACUUCUACCGCUAUCUUCGUACGUUGCUCUAAAUGGGAGUCUUUAUGGAUCCUUUGUUGGAUGAAGCAUUGGCAAUCCUGAGAUGGCCUAGUUUAUCAACAGGGACCAACUGGAGAGGUUCCGUGGUACAGGUAGAGUGCGUUUUGAGGAUGAAGUUUUGAUUACUGAAGAUGGAUGUGUCAACUAGACUAAAAUACCCAGAACAGUCCGAGAAAUUGAAGAUUGGAUUGCCGGUGUUGAUGAUGAUUCCAAAUACGAUUGAAUGAAUUUACAACAAUUCGAAGCUGUUAUUGAUUUCAUUUUUGUUUAUUUUGUUAAUAGUUAUAAAAAGAGCAUUAUAUAAUUGUGUAAUAUUAUCCUGUUUUUAUGCAUGUAUUUUUAAAAAUGCUGUAUAUAUUGAGAAAUUGAGUUUGUGAUUCUACACGUUUGAAUAAAAUUGUUGUUUUAUAUUUUUAACUAUAAA